GGAGUGAAAACACCGGGCUUAACUCGGUGCUUGCUUUCGAUACGGGCAGACUAGAGGUAUGCAGGGGAGAAUGGAAUUCCUGGUGUAGCGGUGAAAUGCGCAGAUAUCAGGAGGAACACCGGUGGCGAAGGCGGUUCUCUGGGCAUUACCUGACGCUGAGGAGCGAAAGUGUGGGGAGCGAACAGGAUUAGAUACCCUGGUAGUCCACACCGUAAACGUUGGGCGCUAGGUGUGGGGCCUAUUCCAUGGGUUCCGUGCCGUAGCUAACGCAUUAAGCGCCCCGCCUGGGGAGUACGGCCGCAAGGCUAAAACUCAAAGGAAUUGACGGGGGCCCGCACAAGCGGCGGAGCAUGCGGAUUAAUUCGAUGCAACGCGAAGAACCUUACCUGGGUUUGACAUACACCGGAAGCCUCUAGAGAUAGAGGUCUCUUUGAUACUGGUGUACAGGUGGUGCAUGGCUGUCGUCAGCUCGUGCCGUGAGAUGUUGGGUUAAGUCCCGCAACGAGCGCAACCCUCGUUCCAUGUUGCCAGCACGUAAUGGUGGGGACUCAUGGGAGACUGCCGGGGUCAACUCGGAGGAAGGUGGGGAUGACGUCAAGUCAUCAUGCCCCUUAUGUCCAGGGCUUCACGCAUGCUACAAUGGCCGGUACAAAGGGCUGCGAUCCCGUGAGGGGGAGCGAAUCCCAAAAAGCCGGUCUCAGUUCGGAUUGGGGUCUGCAACUCGACCCCAUGAAGUCGGAGUCGCUAGUA
Molecule: ribosomal RNA, 750 nt
Filed under: uncultured bacterium
Lineage: Bacteria
Description: bacterial SSU rRNA
Rfam family: Bacterial small subunit ribosomal RNA
Source: RNAcentral